UAAUGUUGGUGUAAACAUGAAGGACAGCAGGUGCUCUUAUAAAAUUACACGUUCAGACAUUUUCCUGUGAAGUGAAGCAGGUUGGUCCUACGUCCAUCAGUUACCAAAUACUGUUUCACCAGUUCAACAUGAUGUUUUCAGACGAGUUUUAUCCACAGUGAGCAUGCUCAGAGGUUUUUCUGUUAUCAGGGGAGAGGAUGACGGAGGGAGAAGUGGACCAGCUGUUGGCAGGACAGGAAGAUGCUAAUGGAUGUAUAAACUAUGAAGCUUUUGUGAAGCACAUCAUGGCUGGCUGAAACAACAGGUUGGGUCCUUUGUUCAGAGAGAAGUGCCUGCAGGUUUCUGCUCUGAUGUUACAAAUCCUCAUGUUCAAUAAAAAUGUACAAAUUCCUGCUGAACUUCCAGUGUUUCAACUGUCGCUGUAACGGUUAAGAGUAAGAGUUACUUGGUUCAGGGUUCAGGGUUCAAGG
This is a long non-coding RNA of Thunnus maccoyii (southern bluefin tuna), 470 nucleotides long. RefSeq lists it as uncharacterized. The transcript has 3 exons. The record is from RefSeq and is a predicted model, not a curated record. Lineage: Eukaryota; Metazoa; Chordata; Actinopteri; Scombriformes; Scombridae.